AGGCACUCCAGUCCACCUCCUUAACUCCCGAAUCCCCUGAUCCUCCACUACUGUUUCUCACUAUCACAGUACUGGACGAACCCUUACUGCUACUCUCACUCACUACAGUUGUAUCAGACAAAUCCCCGGACCCUCCUAUCUCAACUUUGGGCUCGUGUAUCAGAGUAUCAAGCUGAACUGAAUUUGAUGACACUAAUGGAUUUCUACUCUCCUCCAAACUUGCAACCUUCUCAACUUCCCCAUUUUCCUUGCUUAAAUCAUCAUCCCAUGUAAAACUACCACUUGCAACGAAAUUAUUCUCAACCUCGCUGUUGUUCUCAACCUCAUUGAUACUCAAAUCCGCGAACGCCUGAGCCACAUUCGAUUUAUUCCCAUCAGUGAAACUGAAUCCUACCAAUGCCGAU
This 404-nucleotide long non-coding RNA is filed under the name Olea europaea subsp. europaea. The record is from RNAcentral. Lineage: Eukaryota; Viridiplantae; Streptophyta; Magnoliopsida; Lamiales; Oleaceae.